Long non-coding RNA from Carcharodon carcharias (great white shark), 339 nucleotides. RefSeq lists it as uncharacterized. The transcript is spliced from 4 exons. Lineage: Eukaryota; Metazoa; Chordata; Chondrichthyes; Lamniformes; Lamnidae. The record is from RefSeq and is a predicted model, not a curated record.
UGUUUCAUCAAAACACACCCAAAGUUUUAAUUCCAUAUUAUCUGGAAGUUAACAGUUUUGCUUCUGGAAAUUUCAUGGACACAUUCAUGAUUGUCAUGAGAGCGAGAACCCUUCCAGACAUUUGGAUCAUCACAGUUUCCGGUUUCUUGUUGGUUAAACUGGGCUUUGCUGUUGGACUAAUUUGCUGCUUGAAGAGGAUGAACAGCGAUUUAAAAGAAUCAUCAAGUGGUACAGAUAAACAGAACAAUUGCUCCAAAUUGGGUGAAAUCUUAGAGCUUUGGCAUGUUUCCUGAUUUAAAUGCCAGAAAGUUCCUUGUUUCCACUUUCCACAAGACUCAA